CUGGAAUCGCUAGUAAUCGCAGAUCAGAAUGCUGCGGUGAAUACGUUCCCGGGUCUUGUACACACCGCCCGUCACACCAUGGGAGUUGGAAAUGCCCGAAGCCAGUGACCCAACCGUAAGGAGGGAGCUGUCGAAGGUGGAGCCGAUGACUGGGGUGAAGUCGUAACAAGGUACC
RNAcentral lists this ribosomal RNA (175 nucleotides) under uncultured bacterium. RNAcentral's name for it is "partial 16S ribosomal RNA". It matches the Rfam family "Bacterial small subunit ribosomal RNA", at positions 1326 to 1500 of the family's 1533-position model. The record is from RNAcentral.